Molecule: small RNA, 553 nt
Filed under: Pongo abelii (Sumatran orangutan)
Lineage: Eukaryota; Metazoa; Chordata; Mammalia; Primates; Hominidae
Description: processed transcript
Source: RNAcentral
AGAACGCCGGGACGCAUUUCCGAGCUCCGGCCAGACCCAACCCGCUGCCAUUCUAGCUACCUAGUGGAGCCGCGGAGAGACUCUUGAACCGCGAGGCUCCUUGAUGAGAAGGUGGAGAGGCUGCGGGGCUAUUCUCCGAGCAUCUUCCGGCCGCGCUCUGCUCCUCUCGGUGCGCUUGCGGUUUCUCCUUGGGCUGGCGCGUCCGCCGUCCCUCCAACAACAGGCCGGGCCGCUGAGGCGGUGCGGAAAGUUUCCGUCUGGGAGUGCGGAACUGGGGCCGGGUUGGUGUACUGCUCGGAGCAAUGGAGCCAGCCUUCGGGGAGGUGAACCAGCUGGGAGGAGUGUUCGUGAACGGGAGGCCGCUGCCCAACGCCAUCCGGCUUCGCAUCGUGGAACUGGCCCAACUGGGCAUCCGACCGUGUGACAUCAGCCGCCAGCUACGGGUCUCGCACGGCUGCGUCAGCAAGAUCCUGGCGCGAUACAACGAGACGGGCUCGAUCUUGCCAGGAGCAAUCGGGGGCAGCAAGCCCCGGGUCACUACCCCCACCGUGGU